This is a non-coding RNA of Camellia sinensis, 1320 nucleotides long. The record is from RefSeq and is a predicted model, not a curated record. Lineage: Eukaryota; Viridiplantae; Streptophyta; Magnoliopsida; Ericales; Theaceae.
AUCAAUACCUCUCCAAUGAAAUAUUAGGGUCAUCUCUUCGUUUCAGAAGAUGAAGGGUUGAGGAGUCCAACUGCGUCGCCAUCCCGCCGCCGCUCCUCCUCGCGUUCGCCGGCAACCGGAGCACCUCCUCCUCCUCCUCCUCCGCCAUCGCCAUCGUGACUGUUGCGACCACCACUACCUCCGCUACCACCUCCAUCGAUGCCCUCUUUUCACGCCGCCGCCUCCUCCUCCUCCGCCGAUCUUCACAGAUCUGCAAAUGUCCUUGAACCAGAAUCGCUAUAUAAAAUCAAGAACCCCAACUAUAAGGGCAAGUGGAAAACCCCAUGGAUUGAUAACCCAGAGUUUGAAGAUGAUCCUCACCUUUAUGUGUUAAAGCCAAUAAAAUAUGUAGGUGUUGAAGUUUGGCAAGUAAGACUCUUGACUCUCUAUUAUUAAAGUAUUGUUAUUUCUUCUAAUUGGGUCUAUGAUCUUGCACUUUCUGAUUCAAGUUGAGUCUGUGAACCUCUGCUGUUAUGAAGUCAAAGGUUGCAAUGCUUCAUUGUCAGUUUCAGGACUUUGGCCAAUUUUAUUGAUUUUUUAUUUUUUUUGAAAAAGUUGUUCAUGUCAUCGGUCUGAAUACCCAUUUUCCUUUUUCUUUUUCUUUUUUCCAAAAAGGAAGAAGAAAAUGCUGACCCUAUUUGUUUUGAACUUCUCUAAUCUGGUUUUUAGCAAAUUGUGGGCCCUUUAAGAGUUGCUACCAGCUACAAUUAGUUCAUUUUCGUUAUAAAUUUUUUAGCUUUGCCUGGAAUUAUUGGAGCUCUUUUAUUGCAUUGCAGGUAAAGGCUGGUGAGAAUCACUCAAAUAUUUUAUUUACAAGUUUUUAUCAUGUGAAUUGCUCUUUAUAGUUGAUUUGAUAGUUAUAUUAUCUAAUUUGCAAGUUUUUAUCUUUAUGAAAUUUCAGAUUGAAAAGGAUGCCUUUGAGGAGGCAGAGAAAGCAAGAAGAGCUAAGGAAGAGGAGAAUGUGCUGCAAGAACUAUUAGAUGAUAGUGUGCAAAAGUCAGUAAGAGACGACCAAAAUCUGGUAUUGCUUCCAAAGCAAUUGUGGAGUUCACUGAAGGAAAGAGAAGAUAGUCAAACUUGCUGUGGGGUGGAUGGCUAUUAGAUCAGGGGCAAGCUAUCACAUCAAAAUGCAUCUUUUCACCUGAUGCAGGGUUAAAGGCAAGUAAUACAAAUACACACUCACAUUUUUAAUUUUGUCUGUUUUAAUGUUGUUCCUAGUCGAGUGUGUUACUGGCUCCAAAUUCUGAGGUGAAUCAUAAGUUAAUCCUAAAGAAGUUUGAC